This 557-nucleotide ribosomal RNA is filed under the name uncultured Actinomycetes bacterium. RNAcentral describes it as "bacterial SSU rRNA". It matches the Rfam family "Bacterial small subunit ribosomal RNA", at positions 381 to 948 of the family's 1533-position model. Lineage: Bacteria; Bacillati; Actinomycetota; Actinomycetes. The record is from RNAcentral.
GCCUGACGCAGCGACGCCGCGUGAGGGACGACGGCCUUCGGGUUGUAAACCUCUUUUAGUAGGGAAGAAGCGAAAGUGACGGUACCUGCAGAAAAAGCACCGGCUAACUACGUGCCAGCAGCCGCGGUAAUACGUAGGGUGCAAGCGUUGUCCGGAAUUAUUGGGCGUAAAGAGCUCGUAGGCGGUUUGUCGCGUCUGCUGUGAAAACCCGAGGCUCAACCUCGGGCCUGCAGUGGGUACGGGCAGACUAGAGUGCGGUAGGGGAGAUUGGAAUUCCCGGUGUAGCGGUGGAAUGCGCAGAUAUCAGGAGGAACACCGAUGGCGAAGGCAGAUCUCUGGGCCGUAACUGACGCUGAGGAGCGAAAGCAUGGGGAGCGAACAGGAUUAGAUACCCUGGUAGUCCAUGCCGUAAACGUUGGGAACUAGAUGUGGGGACCAUUCCACGGUCUCCGUGUCGCAGCUAACGCAUUAAGUUCCCCGCCUGGGGAGUACGGCCGCAAGGCUAAAACUCAAAGGAAUUGACGGGGGCCCGCACAAGCGGCGGAGCAUGCGGAUUA